GGCCUGAGGUCCUGGCUCCGAGACUGAGGCCGAGACGCGGCAAGCCCCGCGCCGGACCAGCUCUGCCCCUCCCGCACCCACGUGUCUGCGCACAGCCCUCCUUUGCGAUAGAACCCCCUUCCUGGUUCUCCACCACUAAUGAUCUGCCGGAAUUAAACUGGUAACUUUCCCUGCCCUUGAACCGGGAGUUUCGGGAUGAGUUUGCCAAUCCCUGUGCUAUUUGUAACCAGCCCCGUGACACGUGAUACGGAUCCAACUGUGCUAGUUUCCACACCAGGGGUCAGGGCACGGUGGAAGGUGAGUCAAGGGUUCUCUGCCCAAGCGCAGAGGUGCCCUGAGCCACGGGGACUUCCCAGCCCUGCCUUCUCUUCUCAGCUUCCUGUCUGCCUUGCCUGAAACCCUAUCUAG
Molecule: long non-coding RNA, 408 nt
Filed under: Homo sapiens (human)
Lineage: Eukaryota; Metazoa; Chordata; Mammalia; Primates; Hominidae
Description: long non-coding RNA NONHSAT250132
Source: RNAcentral